AAUUCUCAACUGCCUCAGGUCUUGCGGCUUGCAGGUGAAGUUGGACUUUGGAGGUUUGCUGGCGCAUGAAUGGGCUUCGUGUCCUGUCGUGCUUGUCGGCUCCUCUUGAAUGCAUGAGCUUUCCAAUCCUUGGCAAAGUAUCGUCGAUGUGAUAAUUAUCUGCGUCGCCCGAGAAAAGCCUAACAGGGGAAAUCUUUGAUCACGCUGGGGUGACCCACGUCUGACAA
This 227-nucleotide unclassified non-coding RNA is filed under the name uncultured Tomentellopsis. RNAcentral describes it as "sequence contains ITS2". Lineage: Eukaryota; Fungi; Basidiomycota; Agaricomycetes; Thelephorales; Thelephoraceae. The record is from RNAcentral.